Molecule: transfer RNA, 70 nt
Filed under: Marmota monax (woodchuck)
Lineage: Eukaryota; Metazoa; Chordata; Mammalia; Rodentia; Sciuridae
Description: tRNA.Ala
Source: RNAcentral
GAAGUCAAAGCUCAGUGGUAGAGCACUUGCCUAGCAUGUAUGAGGCACUGGGUUCAAUCUCAGCACUGCA